RNAcentral lists this ribosomal RNA (446 nucleotides) under uncultured bacterium. RNAcentral describes it as "partial 16S ribosomal RNA". It matches the Rfam family "Bacterial small subunit ribosomal RNA", at positions 338 to 795 of the family's 1533-position model. The record is from RNAcentral.
CCUACGGGUGGCAGCAGUCGAGCAUCAUUCACAAUGGGGGAAACCCUGAUGGUGCGACGCCGCGUGGGGGAAUGAAGGUCUUCGGAUUGUAAACCCCUGUCAUGUGGGAGCAAAUUAAAAAGAUAAUACAACAAGAGGAAGAGACGGCUAACUCUGUGCCAGCAGCCGCGGUAAUACAGAGGUCUCAAGCGUUGUUCGGAAUCACUGGGCGUAAGGCGUGCGUAGGCUGUUUCGUAAGUCGUGUGUGAAAGGCGCGGGCUCAACCCGCGGACUGCACAUGAUACUGCGUGACUAGAGUAAUGGAGGGGGAACCGGAAUUCCCGGUGUAGCAGUGAUAUGCGUAGAUAGCGAGAGGAACACUCGUGGCGAAGGCGGGUUCCUGGACAUUAACUGACGCUGAGGCACGAAGGCCAGGGGAGCGAAAGGGAUUAGAUACCCGGGUAGUC